AAUUACCCACUCCCAGCACGGGGAGGUAGUGACGAAAAAUAACGAUACGGGACUCAUCCGAGGCCCCGUAAUCGGAAUGAGAACACUUUAAAACUUUUUCCGAGGAUCAAUUGGAGGGUAAGUCUGGUGCCAGCAGCCGCGGUAAUUCCAGCUCCAAUAGCGUAUAUUAAAGUUGUUGCGGUUAAAAAGCUCGUAGUCGAAUCUGUGUCCCGCGCCGCUGGUUCAUCGCUCGCGGUGUUCAACUGGCGUGUCUCGCGGGACGUCCUGCCGGUGGGUCUUCGUAUCGUUUCGGCGGUGCGUGACCCAACUCGUAGCCGUUUUGCGCGGUUGCGAAUCCCAUCGCGGUGCUCUUUAUUGAGUGUCGAGGUGGGCCGGCACGUUUACUUUGAACAAAUUAGAGUGCUUAAAGCAGGCCAAUUUUGCCUGAAUAUUGUGUGCAUGGAAUAAUGGAAUAGGACCUCGGUUCUAUUUUGUUGGUUUUCGGAACCCCGAGGUAAUGAUUAAUAGGAACGGAUGGGGGCAUUCGUAUUGCGACGUUAGAGGUGAAAUUCUUGGAUCGUCGCAGGACGGACAGAAGCGAAAGCAUUUGCCAAAAACGCUUUCAUUGAUCAAGAACGAAAGUUAGAGGUCCGAAGGCGAUCAGAUACCGCCCUAGUUCUAACCAUAAACGAUGCCAGCUAGCGAUCCGCCGACGUUCCUCCGAUGACUCGGCGGGCAGCUUCCGGGAAACCAAAGCUUUUGGGUUCCGGGGGAAGUAUGGUUGCAAAGCUGAAACUUAAAGGAAUUGACGGAAGGGCACCACCAGGAGUGGAGCCUGCGGCUUAAUUUGACUCAACACGGGACACCUCACCAGGCCCGGACACCGGAAGGAUUGACAGAUUGAUAGCUCUUUCUUGAUUCGGUGGGUGGUGGUGCAUGGCCGUU
Molecule: ribosomal RNA, 924 nt
Filed under: Stethusa dichroa
Lineage: Eukaryota; Metazoa; Arthropoda; Insecta; Coleoptera; Staphylinidae
Description: SSU rRNA
Rfam family: Eukaryotic small subunit ribosomal RNA
Source: RNAcentral